AUGGUAUUAGUACUUAUAUGGAAAAACAAGCAAACAAACAUAAAACAACAGCAACAAGUCGAAGCAGGAAUUCAGGUUACAAGACAAAGACUUCAAUUUUUGCUCAUGGCAGACAUUGGACACUUUAUUCCUGAUAGAGGUUCGAGCAUUUAUGUAAAAGGAGGAAAGAAGAAGCCUAGGAACAUAAGAAUAACUCAGUGGCACAUGGGGAAGAGAGGAGUCUCAGAGCAUCAACUAUUGAGGCUUCAACCAGGAUAUAGAAAGGAUUUCACACCCAAAGUGACGGUGACCUGGCUCUCAGCAUAACAUCAGAAGGUGCUGCUUCUCAGAGGUUCUUUGUCAGUUAUCAAUUUAUUACCUGUCAGCUUCAAAUUUACCCUUUGUUAUCUGUUUUGCAAAAAUAUAAAUAGGUCUUUUAAAUAAUGAUUUCCCCUGCUGUCUGGCAUGAUGUUAAAUUUUGUCAGUAGGAGACACUGAAAAGUCCCUCUAGGAGGAAGCAAUAGUCCUUUCUAGUUCUGGUGUGCUUUCUUGGCAGACUCCUGCAGCAUGCCUAGGUCAUGUAGUAUACACAGCUUCCUUAGUGCCUGGCUUCUGCAGUGCAUGGAUUCUCCAGCAACAGGCUCCUGAGUAUGCACAGCUUCCCCAGCACCAGGCUCUUGCAGUGCACAGCGUCCCCAGCAUCAGGGUCCUGGAGCACAUACAGGUUGCCCAGCACCAGGCUCCUGCUGUGCACAGCUUCCCCAGCACCAGGCUCCUGGAGUGUGACAACUUCCCCAGCACUUGCGCGCUAUCCUCAGUACUCAGCAGCAAGUGAUUUUGUGACACAGUGUCUCAGGCAAGCCACCUUUUCCCAGUACCCUAGAAGAUAGAUGAGUAUGCAUGGCAGAACUUUUCUGCCAUCCUGCGAGCCAUCCAUACCAUGACCUCCGCCAAGGUCUGGAUUUCAGCCCUGGGGCAAUGGGUGAGAAACUCUUGAUAGGGUUCUCUAUUUCAGCCCUGGGGAGAGUGGUUGCUCCUUAGCUCUUCUACACCUGUGUUCUGUAGUGCACUCUUUACCUCUUAUUAGCUAAUCCCUUACUACUUUAGUGCUCUGUUAUAGCUAGUAACUUUUAUAUUAAACUUUCUCUGUUCAAAUUUCUACAUAGUUCCUGUCUUGUGAUUGGACCCUGACUUAUGCAGGUACUCACAAUUGUCCUUAGCUAGGUGGUGGCUAAAGGGGCUCAGGACUGAUUCCUAGGCCAGUAGCAAAGGCUUUAGGCUCAAAGCAAAGCCACAAAGCAAGUUAAUCCAUGACAUCACUGGAAGCAUCUAUAACUUCCUGAGUUCAAACACUGACAUUCUGUCUUCCCCAGAAGAAGGGGUGAAUUUAGUUCUAUUUCUCAGGGUGAUUGGAAUGUUCUUUGUCUAACGUAUGUUUCAAUACUAACUUAGAUUCAUCUAUUUCUUUGUUAGAAGGAAGAUCCGGAGAAAGCUAGCUUUAUAGAUGAGGAAACUUUCUAAACAAGAUCUCUGUGGCCGAAUGGUAUUAAAGUGUCCUCUAUGGGCUCUAUAAUUCCAGCUGGCCGUGUCUUUUGGCCACUGAGAAAAUCUGGCUUUGUAUUUCAGUAAAAUGUUGAAAUUAGGUUACUUUUAACUAAGCUUGAAUUUGGAAAAUAUGAUCAUACUGAGUAAGUAAAUCAUUCUAAAUAAUGCUCUAAAUACCUUCUAGUUUUUCAUUUCUAUGGCACUGAGAUAAUCCAUAUAGGAUUUCUUGGCUUUUGCAGUAGUGAAUAUGCCAAUGUACUCUGAUUAAAUUAUUGGAAAAUGUAGAGAAAAUUUCUCCUUUUGGAAAUAAUUGUAUUAGGUCAGAUUCUCAUCAUAAGAAAUUUCUUGCUAAGAAAUUUAGAAAAGCAAAACAGAAAAAUCAAAAAAGUUGUUUUGCUCUGUCCUUAAACUCUAAGUACAUUAUUCUAUGUAAUCUUAAGGAAUGGUUACAUAGAAAACAUGAGAAAAUAUUUUCCAGAUAGAAAGUUGAUAGCGCUAAAUAGAAUAAGAACUUAGUGUAUUGUUUAUAAACAUGCACGUUAAUGUAAAAUAUUGUCACUAUUGGAGGAAUAUAUAUGGUAACUCAAUUAGGGAAAUUACCAUUUUCUUAUAAUCUUUUUCUUUAAAUUGAAAUAUUGGAGUGUAAUUUAAACUUUGGAAACUUUAAAUUCUAGCUGUUCUAUCACUACAUACAGAACGGUUUCCCCCCAAAAUAUUUUCAAUUAGAACAUUUUUAAAUUUCAUCUUACAAUAAUAUCUAGGCUUUUCCCUAUGCCCAUUUAAUUCUCUCAAAGAAAGAUUGUCUGCUUUAGGAAUAAAAAUAGCUCUUUCAGGCCUCAUUAGCACUAAUAACAAUUUUUAAAAAUAAUGUUAAACAAACACAACGCUACAUUUCAAUGUAAUGUUAUUUAGUGCAAGGGCAAUGCCUUGCAAACCUCAGAAGAGCCUAGAAAACAGCAGAAUCUAAAAUUUUAAGUUGUUAAGAAAAUACUAGAUUAUAACGAAUGAGAUUAUUCUAAUGAAGGGAGAAACAUAUAUAAAGCAAUUUUAGAAAGAUUUAUAUUUGAAAUAAUGAUUUUUUAAAAGUUUGAACCCUAUAACACAACUCAUUCCCUAAUGGGUUUCUGUACCUGAGAUCUUCCCAAUUAGCUUAAAACAUGACAUUUUUAACUAUCAGUAUAAGUCAAAAUAGUUACUGUUUAUUGAGUAUUUGCUUUAAAAUAAGUUCUUUAUACAUAUUAUCUCACUAAAUAUAAUUUCUGGUUUCUUGGUUUAGAACUUGAGGCACAGAGAGGUUAAAACAUUUCCCCAAAAGCACAUAGUUGGUAAGUGGUAGAAAUGGAAUUUGAUGUAGAAAUAUAUGAAAAUAUGUACCUUUUCACUAUCUUCACUAUCCUACAUUGCUUCUUCCUGAUUCUAUGGUUAAUAUGAGUCAUUGUGGAACAUAGUGAGUAACUUGGUACUAUAAAGGAAUUUGCUUGUUUUUGGAAAAAAAAAAAAGGUAAUUACGUUUCAAAGCAACGAAAUUAGAAAUAUUUUUUUAAGCUUCUUUUUUAAAGCAGAACUUUCGGUUCAUUAUUUGAGAGACUUAAUGCAUGUUUUCACUUUAAGUCAAAAAAUAUUCCGAUUUCAAGAUGUAUUGCCUUGUCUAAUGUAGCUAUGAGCCCUUCUCGAAACUGUGUGGAAGCCUGAAGAAACUGUAAUGCAACUUCCAAAAGUGUCUAACCCUACUAGGGAGUAGCUUUGGCAGUAGGAGAAUUUGGCUCUGCAGAUUUCAGCCAAGUCCCAGCCCAAGAAGUUCAAUUAGCUAGGAAAGAUUAAACAUCUGAAAAUGUAAAUUAUUAGUUCAGUUGCAACUCUAUGUGUUACAUGUGUAGAAAUGCAAAAACACAUUUGUUCGAAGGAUUUAUCAUUAACUGCCACAUUGCACAGUACGAAUACUUAGAUAUGCUUGCAUAAACACAUGAGUCACCUUUUAUAAAAUAUGAUUUUCCAUGUAAGCAAACUAUUGAUGAAUGUGGAGUCUAGGACAUUUUCUCUUUGGCUGUUGUAAAAAUUUUCUAUGAACGAUAAGAGAACAUCUUUGAAUGCAAUAAGUUCAAGAGGAUAGCUUGUCACUGAGGGGAAGGGAAGCCAAGGGGUCCCAACAUCUCUCACUCCCAUGUUCUAAUGCAAGCGUGCUUGCCAGGAAGCUUUCACUGUCUGCGAUGAGUCAUGGGUCUUGUGAGUUUCCUCCAGUUUAGGAAAAGAGAGACACAGCUUCCUCCUGAUGUCUUCUGAGGUUGACACUGUUUAAAUGUGUCUUAUCAUGGAAUUCUGAGGUCUUUUCUUUCUUUCUUUCCUUCCUUUCUUCCUUCCUUCCUUCCUUCUUUCUUUCUUUUUUUCUUUCUUUCUUUCUCUUUUUCUCUCUCUUUCUCUCUCUCUUUUUCUCUCUCUCUCUCUUUCUCUCUCUCUUUCUCUCUUUCUUUCUUAAUUAGAACAGAGAAUGAAAUGCAAAGGGACAUUGAGGGUAUGUCCACUCUGUGGAUCUUAUUCCAGGUGACUCAUGUUUCUGUAUCUCUUUCAAAAUAAGUGCUUAGCUGUCUUAGUGGAAUUAAGAAAGAUGAGAAAAUUCUGUUGUUUUUCAAACUCUUUUUUAUUUUGAGGUCUAGUUCUGGAAAUA
Molecule: long non-coding RNA, 4186 nt
Organism: Macaca mulatta (Rhesus monkey)
Lineage: Eukaryota; Metazoa; Chordata; Mammalia; Primates; Cercopithecidae
Source: Ensembl